CAGCAGCCGCGGGAAUACGAAGGGUGCAAGCGUUACUCGGAAUUACUGGGCGUAAAGCGUGCGUAGGUGGUGGUUUAAGUCCGUUGUGAAAGCCCUGGGCUCAACCUGGGAAUUGCAGUGGAUACUGGGUCACUAGAGUGUGGUAGAGGAUAGUGGAAUUUCCGGUGUAGCAGUGAAAUGCGUAGAGAUCGGAAGGAACAUCUGUGGCGAAGGCGACUAUCUGGGCCAACACUGACACUGAGGCACGAAAGCGUGGGGAGCAAACAGGAUUAGAUACCCCAGUAGUCCCUGUCUCUAUACA
RNAcentral lists this ribosomal RNA (301 nucleotides) under uncultured bacterium. RNAcentral describes it as "partial 16S ribosomal RNA". It matches the Rfam family "Bacterial small subunit ribosomal RNA", at positions 509 to 808 of the family's 1533-position model. The record is from RNAcentral.